Ochotona curzoniae (black-lipped pika) is the source of this 743-nucleotide RNA transcript. It is a transcript of the gene named 60S ribosomal protein L12-like, with no coding region annotated. Lineage: Eukaryota; Metazoa; Chordata; Mammalia; Lagomorpha; Ochotonidae. The transcript is spliced from 2 exons. The record is from RefSeq and is a predicted model, not a curated record.
UCCGGGUUCAUCUGACACCGGGUGCGUCCACCAUGCCACCCAAGUUCGACCCCAACGAGAUUAAAGUUGUGUACCUGCAGUGCACAGGCGGCGAGGUGGGUACCACAUCCGCCCUGGCCCCCAAGACCGGCCCCCUGGGUCUGUCUCCGAAGAAGGUGGGAGAUGACAUUGCCAAGGCCACCGGGGACUGGAAGGGCCUGCGGAUCACGGUGAAGCUGACCAUCCAGAACUGACGAGCGCAGAUCAAGGUGGUGCCGUCGGCCUCUGCCCUGAUCAUCAAGGCCCUCAAGGAGCUGCCCAGGGACCACAAGAAGCAGAAGAACAUCAAACACAGAGGGAACAGCACAUUUGAUGAAACUGUCAGCAUCACUAGGCAGAUGCGCCACCGAUCCUUAGCCAGAGAACUUUCUGGAACCAUCAAAGAGAUUCUGGGGACUGCCCAGUCAGCGGGCUGCAAUGUGGAUGGCCACCACCCACACAACAUCAUAGAUGACAUCAACACUGGUGCAGUGGAAUGCCCAGCUAGCCAAGAGAAAUUUUUUCAAAAAAGGAUCAUCUGGCAACCAAAAAAAAAAAAAAAAGAAGAAGAAGAAGAAGAACCAGCUAUUCUUGGGGGCGCACGCCGGGCCUUUAGUCAGAAGGGCGAGAACUACAAGACUCGGCUGCCCCAGCGCACCGAGCUCGAUCACGUGGCAGGGGACCGACCGGGCGUGCGUGCCGCCGUUGAUCCGGUGCUGCAGUGA